This 61-nucleotide transfer RNA is filed under the name Brookesia peyrierasi. Its description in RNAcentral is "tRNA-His". It matches the Rfam family "tRNA". Rfam says of the family: Transfer RNA (tRNA) molecules are approximately 80 nucleotides in length. Their secondary structure includes four short double-helical elements and three loops (D, anti-codon, and T loops). The record is from RNAcentral. Lineage: Eukaryota; Metazoa; Chordata; Lepidosauria; Squamata; Chamaeleonidae.
GUUGUGGUAGUUUAAUAAAACCUUAGUCUGUGACACUAAAAAUGGAAAUCUUCCCCACAAC